GCGGCAGUCCCGGCCCCGCUGACCUCUUCCGUAGCGCACACAAAGCAGUGAUCCCUUCCUUUGAGAUGCGGGUUGCGGACAGUCAAGUUUUAGCUCCAAUCCCUUAGGGACCCGCUGGAGGAAAGGCAGCUUUCAGGCUGCUGCAGCGGCAAGUCCUUGUCCUUGGGAGAAGAGAGGUACCGCAAGGGAAUGGAGGAAACCAGCUAAGGGGGGGAACCACCCCAGGGAUUGGAGCCUGCUGCACACUGUUUUGCCUAAGAAAUCUAAAAACAUCAGUCUUAAAAGACAGUGGCCUCUCUUUUGAAAGCUCACGGUUCAGCCCUCCCAGUUGGUCAGCACUCAGGUCUUAAUUCCACUCAGAUCUGCAGUCUCAGGUCAGCACUAGACUCAGCCAGUACCAACACGGUAAUUAGUCUGUCCACAGUUCUCCUUGCAACGAAAAUAAAGUUAAUUAGAAUGGAAAAAAAGGAAUGAAA
RNAcentral lists this long non-coding RNA (476 nucleotides) under Struthio camelus australis. Its description in RNAcentral is "lncRNA (ENSSCUG00000001025.1)". Lineage: Eukaryota; Metazoa; Chordata; Aves; Struthioniformes; Struthionidae. The record is from RNAcentral.